AAGUUGACGGGGGCCCGCACAAGCGGUGGAGCAUGUGGUUUAAUUCGACGCAACGCGAAGAACCUUACCAGGGCUUGACAUCCCCUGACCGCGUAUGAAAGUACGUUUUCACCCUCGGGUGACAGGGAGACAGGUGGUGCAUGGUUGUCGUCAGCUCGUGUCGUGAGAUGUUGGGUUAAGUCCCGCAACGAGCGCAACCCCUACGUUUAGUUGCUAACGCGUGAAGGCGAGCACUCUAGACGAACUGCCGUUGACAAACGGAGGAAGUGGGAUGACGUCAAAUCAUCAUGCCCCUUAUGUUCUGGGCUACACACGUGCUACAAUGGCCGGUACAGACGGACGCAAAGCCGCGAGGUGGAGCAAAUCCUAAAAAGCCGGUCUCAGUUCGGAUUGCAGGCUGCAAUUCGCCUGCAUGAAGUCGGAAUCGCUAGUAAUCGCAGGUCAGCAUACUGCGGUGAAUACGUUCCCGGGCCUU
Molecule: ribosomal RNA, 475 nt
Filed under: uncultured Pelotomaculum sp.
Lineage: Bacteria; Bacillati; Bacillota; Clostridia; Eubacteriales; Desulfotomaculaceae
Description: bacterial SSU rRNA
Rfam family: Bacterial small subunit ribosomal RNA
Source: RNAcentral